UGGGCUAAUUAUGCUUAGGUUAGGUUUGGGCUAGGGGUUUUGGUUAACUGUUUAAUGGACUGUUAAUGGGCUUUGAAUUUAUAUUUAGAAUUUAUUUUUUAUUUAUGCGGGCUCGGGCCAAAAUUGGGCCUUACAGUUAUGAUAGGCUAGACGAGGUUGGGAGGUAAAUCAAACCGAAUAAAUCGUAAUUUAUACUGGUUGAGAAAGUGAAGUUAGGAAAUAAGCGAGUAUCAACCAAUCUAUUAGUUAAUUAGAGGUUGGGAUGUAG
Molecule: long non-coding RNA, 268 nt
Filed under: Gossypium raimondii (Peruvian cotton)
Lineage: Eukaryota; Viridiplantae; Streptophyta; Magnoliopsida; Malvales; Malvaceae
Description: long non-coding RNA (GRAI_LNC001571)
Source: RNAcentral